Molecule: ribosomal RNA, 158 nt
Filed under: uncultured Enterobacterales bacterium
Lineage: Bacteria; Pseudomonadati; Pseudomonadota; Gammaproteobacteria; Enterobacterales
Description: partial 16S ribosomal RNA
Rfam family: Bacterial small subunit ribosomal RNA
Source: RNAcentral
GAGGGGGACCUUCGGCCUCUCGCAUUCGGAUGUGCCCAGAUAGGAUUAGCUAGUGGUAGGGGUAAAGCCUCACCUAGGCCACGAUCCGGAGCUGGACUGAGAGGAUGACCAGCCACACUGGAACUGAGACACGGUCCCGACUCCUACGGGAGGCAGCA